AUUGAACGCUGGCGGCAGGCUUAACACAUGCAAGUCGAGCGGAGAUGAGGUGCUUGCACCUUAUCUUAGCGGCGGACGGGUGAGUAAUGCUUAGGAAUCUGCCUAUUAGUGGGGGACAACAUUCCGAAAGGAAUGCUAAUACCGCAUACGUCCUACGGGAGAAAGCAGGGGAUCUUCGGACCUUGCGCUAAUAGAUGAGCCUAAGGCGGAUUAGCUAGUUGGUGGGGUAAAGGCCUACCAAGGCGACGAUCUGUAGCGGGUCCGAGAGGAUGAUCCGCCACACUGGGACUGAGACACGGCCCAGACUCCUACGGGAGGCAGCAGUGGGGAAUAUUGGACAAUGGGGGAAACCCUGAUCCAGCCAUGCCGCGUGUGUGAAGAAGGCCUUAUGGUUGUAAAGCACUUUAAGCGAGGAGGAGGCUACUGAGACUAAUACUCUUGGAUAGUGGACGUUACUCGCAGAAUAAGCACCGGCUAACUCUGUGCCAGCCGCCGCCGUAA
RNAcentral lists this ribosomal RNA (501 nucleotides) under uncultured bacterium. Its description in RNAcentral is "partial 16S ribosomal RNA". It matches the Rfam family "Bacterial small subunit ribosomal RNA", at positions 30 to 523 of the family's 1533-position model. The record is from RNAcentral.